Molecule: unclassified non-coding RNA, 3114 nt
Filed under: Penaeus japonicus
Lineage: Eukaryota; Metazoa; Arthropoda; Malacostraca; Decapoda; Penaeidae
Description: glucose transporter type 1-like, transcript variant X7
Source: RNAcentral
UCGCUCUCCAGAUUUCCCCACACAGGUUCUAGCUCUUCUGUGCCCGGGUGCUGACGCGCUGCUGUGCUUCUGGUUCUGUGAAUUGGAUAUUUAAUUUAAAAAAAAGAAUACCUCAGGGAUGAAUACUUUGUGUUAGCGUGUCUUUUUUUCUCUGUAGAUCUUUUUGGAUUGAGUCCUUGUUUUUUUAAAACCAAGGACGUAAUUAUCUGCGGCGGAUCGUCGUCAUAGCUCGAACGAAGGGCGUGGCCACGGUAGUGUAGAAGCCUUAUCGUCCCGGACAGUAGCUACAACAACCAGCACUCUUGGUGGUCCAUCAUGGCUGAUACGCUCUGGGCGGCCGGAUGUGCUGGUGGCGUGGUGGCGGCGGGGCGCGACCCUGUGGCGGCGGCUGCAUGAGGGGCGGCGGCCAGCGGGUGUUCGACUCUUCGUGUGACGGGGGACACCGCUCCCCCGCCAUCCCCUACACUCCCCAAACACAACAACCACAUCCCUACGACGUGGUGCCGCGUCCACUCCCGGUGACCGCCACCGCUUCUGCAGCGGCCGCGGCCGCCGCUGCCGCAGCUGCCUACGCCUCGCCCGUAUCUCCCCCUGCCUUCCCUACUGGCAUCCUUCCCCCGCCCAUCGGCACGCCCUUAGGCACGCCGUCGCCACCUUGCUACGGCGGCUGCAGCUGCGGCGUGUCCACAGCUUCUUCCCCGGGCGCGUGCCGCGUGCACGAGCGCGUGUUUUCGUGCCCGCCGCCCCCGCCACCCGUCACGUGCGGUCCCACGGACCGUGAGAGUGUGGGGGCGCUCGCAGGGGGUGAUGGGGAGCUAGCCAUUAACGAUGACCAGGAGGUAUGGCACCCUAGGGACGAUACAUCGGAAGAGAUUAAAGAAGAAAGUGUAAAGGAGUUGUUACUGAGGCACUCGUGCGACGGGCUGGAUUUUAGCUUGCAGAAGCAAGUGUCGAUCAUGAGCCUGAACCUGAACGCCAAGAUCGAUGAGAUCCAGUGUCACCAGCACGCCGACACCAGUGCCGCCCUCCUCGCCAUCAGGUCGCAGCUGCAGGACCUGACGAAGAGCGUGGAGAGCUGCCAGAGCGAGGUGGUCGAGGUGAAGCGGGACAUGGUGGCCAUCAAGCACGAGAUCGACACCCUCCAAGCCGCCAAGGAGGAGAUCGAGGAGCUGCGCGACGCAGUGGACCGCCUCGAGGAACAGACCCGACGCAGGAAGAUCCGUCUUCUGGAGCAGGCUUCCUCUCUCUCCCCCACGGGUUUAACGUGCUUCUUGUGUUACGCCAUCUUCGCUGCUGUCCUUGGCAUGUUCCAGUUUGGCUACAACACUGGGGUGAUCAAUGCCCCACAGUCUGUAAUUGAGAACUUCAUCGGUGACUGCUGGAAGGAACGAUACAACAGGAACAUUGAGGGCAGCAAGCAGGAUUUGAUAUGGUCCAUUGCUGUAUCUAUCUUCGCCAUUGGGGGAAUGAUUGGUGGUUUCUGCGGUGGCAUAGUAGGAAACAGGUUUGGCAGAAAGAAGGGCUUACUCCUAAACAACCUUUUGGGAGUGGGAGGAGCAUGCCUCAUGGGCUUCUCUCAAAUGUUAUACUCUUUUGAGAUGCUCAUCCUAGGUAGAUUGGUCAUUGGCAUUAACUGCGGACUGAACACCUCACUAGUUCCCAUGUACAUCAGUGAGAUCGCCCCUCUCAACCUACGUGGUGGACUAGGAACUGUCAACCAAUUGGCUGUCACUGUUGGCCUGCUCCUCUCACAGAUUCUUGGCAUUGAGCAACUUCUUGGGAAUAGCGAUGCCUGGCCUCUUCUUCUAGGUCUUGCCAUUGUCCCAGCUGUGAUGCAGAUGGUGCUGCUGCCGGUGUGUCCAGAAUCUCCACGCUACUUGCUCAUGUCACGCCAAUUAGAGGAUGAAGCACGAAGAGCCCUACGAAGACUGCGUGCAUCUAGUCAUGUUGAGGAAGAUAUUGACGAGAUGCGAGCAGAGGAGGCAGCGAGUCAGACUGAAGCUCACAUGAGUAUGUUGCAGCUGGUGCGGUCAUCAGCACUGCGCAUGCCACUCACGAUUGGCAUUGUCAUGCAGCUCUCUCAGCAGUUGUCAGGCAUUAAUGCGUUGGUGCUGUAUUACUCCACAUCCUUGUUCACGGCUGCUGGUCUGGAAGAAUGGCAGUCCAAGUAUGCUACCCUCGGUGUCGGGUCAGUGAUGGUCAUCAUGACCUUGGUGUCCAUUCCUCUCAUGGAUCGUGCUGGUCGACGUACGCUUCACCUGUAUGGCCUCGGUGGAAUGUUUGUCUUCUCCCUCUUUAUCACUAUUAGUCUCCUUAUUAAGGAAAUGAUGUCAUGGAUGACCUUUAUCUCUGUGAUAAGCACCCUCUGCUUUGUCAUCUUCUUCUCUGUGGGUCCUGGCAGUAUUCCCUGGAUGAUCACAGCUGAACUCUUCUCCCAGGGCCCGCGUCCAGCUGCCAUGUCCAUUGCUGUUCUAGUUAACUGGCUGUCAAACUUCAUUGUUGGAAUUGGUUUUCCCAAAAUGCAGGAAACAUUUGAAAACUACACCUUUUUGCCAUUUAGUGUCCUACUCGCAUGCUUCUGGGUGUUUACAUACUACAAGGUGCCAGAGACCAAGAAUAAAACCUUUGAAGAAAUUUCUGCUAUCUUCCAAAGAGGGGUUGAAAGGCCGCACAGGGAAUACCUCGAUGACCCCAGACUGUAUGGUAACUUCCAUGCUGUCACGAGCAGCAAUCACCUGAGCACUUUGAAUUGUGUUAACACCUUGGGGUCGAAGCCCAUGGAGACCGAGCAUGCGGCACUCAUCCGCGAGCUCUCGGGCCGGGCGCAACAACAGUAAUGUUGUGUCUGAAGGGACCAUAACAAGUGAAUGAGUAAUCAUUUAUUAGAUAUAACCACAGAUUUCAGUCAUCAAAUCUUGCAGCCUUGUGAUCAGUGGUAAUGCUGUCAUUAACACUAGCAUAAGAAUAAACUUGAAAGUAUAGAAGUUGACUGAAUUAUUUUCUAAAUAUUGCAAGAAUCAGUUUAAAUGUUCAUGGACAAGAAAAUUGUUCAGUGAAACUAUGGAAGCUACCUGACUGGCUGUAUAAAAUGUUAAUAUAAUUCUGCAAAUCAUA